Long non-coding RNA from Mugil cephalus (flathead mullet), 10224 nucleotides. RefSeq lists it as uncharacterized. The transcript has 3 exons. NCBI's taxonomy places the organism in Eukaryota, Metazoa, Chordata, Actinopteri, Mugiliformes, Mugilidae. The record is from RefSeq and is a predicted model, not a curated record.
CACAAGCAUAACUGUGCUAAAUGUGGGUUAACUGUAGUAAAUGUAGGCUAACUGUGCUAACCGUAAGCUAACUGUGCUAAAUGUGGGUUAAGUUUGCUAACUGUAGGUUAAAAUUUGAUUAGAUUAGAUUAGAUUAGAUUAGAUUAGAUUAGAUUAGAUUAGAUUAGAUUAGAUUAAAGUCUUUAUUAUUUAUUAAAGUCAUUACACAGUAAAUAUACACUGCACAAUGAAAUUGAGGUACAGCUCUCCCGUCAGUGCAGAAGAUAAAUAUUCAAUAAGUAACUAAACUAAACAAGGCAUGUACUCAUAAAACAAACAAACAAACAAACAAAGGACAGCAGGGCUAUGGCCCUGUUGUCCUUUGUGAAACUGUCCCUCAGUCUGUUUUCAGCAUCCUGAAACCUCUGCCAGAGGGCAAGAGGUGGAACACCCGGUGUCCUGGGUGUGACCUGUCUUUCAGGAUGCUGCGUGCCUUACUCAGUUCAGCGGGUGCUGUACAGGUCCUGUAGGGAGGGGAGAGGGUGACCGAUGAUCUUCUGGGCCGUGUUAAUGACACUCUGUAGUGCUUUCUGUGUGCCAUGGUGCAGCUGGAAAACCCCAUACAUAAACAAUAUGUCAGCACACUCUCAAUGGAGCAGCAGUAGAAGACAGUUAGCAGCUCCCUCUUUAGGUUGAUCUUCCUAAGGAUCCUCAGAAAGUGGAGCCGCUGCUGGGCUUUAUUCACAACCGCUGAGGUGUUGUAGCUCCAUCUGAGGUCUCCGUCCAUGUGCGCACCCAGGAACUUGAAGCUGUGCACCCCCUCCACAGACUCCCCAUUAAUGCAGAUGGGCUGCAGGUCAGUCUUCCUCCUCCUGUAGUCCACAAUCACCUCCUUUGUUUUGGAGGUGUUGAGGACCAAGUUGUUGUCCUUACACCACUCCACCAGCCUCUGGACCCCCUCCCUGUAGGCAGUCUCAUCACCACCAGAGAUUAGUCCCACUAAAGUGGUGUCAUCCCAGAUUUAACAAUGAUGUUGUCUGGGUGGGUGCUGACACAGUCAUGGGUGUACAGAGUAUAGAGCAGACGACUGAGUACACAGCCCUAUGGGGAACCGAUGUUGAGGCUGAGGGCUGUUGAGAGAUGGGGCCUGACUCUGACUCUCUGUACCCGGUUGGACAGGAAGUCUGUAAUCCAGCAGCAGAUGGUGACUGGGAGUCUGAUGUCCAGCGGUCUGGCAUAGUGUGAGAUGGUGGUGUGGAGCACUGUGCAUGGCAUCUUCUGUUGAUCUGUUCGCUCUGUAAGAAAAUUGAAGUGGGUCGAAUGUGGGUGGGAGGCAAGACGUGAUGAGGCAUCGGACUAGUUUCUCUAAGCACUUCAUGACCACAGGUGUCAGAGCAACUGGUCUGUAGUCGUUAAGACUGUUGAUAGUGGUCUUUUUGGGCAGCGGGACGAUUGUGGCCAACUUCAGGCAUGGUGGGAUUGAAGGACUGGGCCUUGACUCAUUAAAGAUCCUGGUGAAGACCCUGGCCAGCUGGUCUGCACACUCUCUGAGGACCCUCCCGGUCACUCCAUCUGGUCCGGCGGCCUUCCUAGGGUUCACUGCCCUCAGUGUGCACCUCACCACAUGUUACUGCACUGUGAAGCUUGAGCUGUUGCAAUUCAGUGGACAAGCUGUGGCUGCCUCGUGUCCUUUCACCUCGAAGCGUGUGAGCUAGCCUAGCGUCACCCUCUGCAAUCGUGGUGCUGCUGGACUUGAAGUGGGUGAGGUGCUGGAGUCCCUGCCACACCUGGCGCGUGUUGUUCUCGGUGAAGUGAUCCUGAAACUUCCUCCUGUAGGCUGUCUUGGCGUCUCUGAUGCCUCUCCUCAUGUUGGCUCUGGCUGCACUGUACUGCACUCCAUCCCCAGACCUGAGGGCGUCAUCACGUUGCCUCAGCAGUGCCUUAACCUCUUUCGUCAUCCAGGGUUUCUUGUUGGAAUAUACCCAGAGACGUAUGUCAACAUGCAGAAGUUGAUGUAGGAGAGCGCAGAUGAGAUGUAUUCCUAUAAAUCCUGGUGCUCAAACACACUCCAAUCUGUGCUCUCAAAACAGUCCUGCAGCUGGUGUAGUGCACCCUCUGGCCAUAUUUUCACAAUUGUUGUGGUGGGGGGGGCUCUCCUCUUGAACGGGGUGUACACAGGAAUCAGCAGCAUGGACAUAUGAUCUGACAGACCCAGAUGUGGUAGGAGUCUUGCGUUAUAGCCUUUCUGAAUGUUGCUAUAUACAAUACAAGCUUUAUUGUAUAGACUUUGUCCUGCGUGUUUAGACCCCUUAUGUACUUGUAAUUAUUUAUGUAUUCUCACAUUUCUAUGUGUAUAUUAUUAUUAUUAUUAUUACAUACUGAUGCUGCUGCCAUUAUUAGUACUAUAUACUGUUAUUAUAAUGGUGUUAUUAUUAUUAUUAUUAUUAUUAUUAUUAUUAUAGUAGUAGAUACUAUUCUACUAUUAUAUACUGUUUAGUUACAAUAACAUUACCAUCAUAUCAUGGAAUGUAUACGGCCGUUACCAUGACAACGGCAAAUUCACGGGGUAGAUAGACGGGUCUGCAUCUCACAGUCAAAUAUUCCAAGUCCGGGGAACAAUGUCUGUCCACAGUCUCUGCAUUUCUGCACCAGCUGUCGCUGGUAUAGAUGCACAGCUCCCCUCCUCUGCUCUUACCGGAGUCCCUGUUCCAGUCAUGGUGAUGGACCGUGCGACCUGCUAGCUCGGUGCUGCGGUGUGGAUUGUUGUAGCUAGGUCUCCGUUAUUAACAACACACAACAGUCACGGAAACACUUGUUGGUUGCGAUUUGUAGUCUCAACUCAUCGAUCUUAUUCCCCAUAGAUCUGGCGUUGGAGAGGAAAAGGCUGGGAAGCGGCAGUUUAAAUGAUCGUCUCUUUAGCCGCGCCGUGCAGCCUGGCUUUUGCUUCCUUUGUUUUCGGCUCCACUUGGGCUUGCCGCCAGGGAGAACCACCCACGGAGAACCCGGAGUCCUGACUAUAUCCUCCGGUAUGUUGUGGAAGCGGUGAUAUUCUGAUGAGAUCGAGAUCGUCGUUCCACAGCAGAAUCCCAAGCUGAAUAGAUCCUGGCCGCUGAUGGACAAAAAGAAAAUACUUGCAGAAAAGAGGGUACAGGUUCCCGCCCAGAAAAUGAAGGUUGCAGAGCAUCCUCCCCCAAAUGAGCAAUCUGAACCACUUUUACAGCGUUAAUGUCCGCUCAUGUUGAGGAACUGUGGUCUGCUCCAGAGGCCUUCAACAACACCGAUCCCCACUCCUGCACCGCACCCGCAGUGGAAGCACCACGCACAGUGUAUGAGGAAGCAGAAGAGGGGUAAGCACGGAGGUAUCUGAGCGAGGCUAGCAGCUAAGCCACAGAAGCUGGCGAUUCUCCCUAUCUUUCUGGCCUCUCUGACUGGACAACAACUACAUCAGACUACAGAUGUUGUGUUUUUGUGUUUGUGGACACAUAGCUAAACAGCAGCAUUCCAGACGGUGCUAUACAGCUCGACUGGCUAACAUGCUACCAAGACAGAGCUAUUGUAAAGGGAGGUAAGACCCACGGCUGUGGGCUCUGUGUCUACAUCAACGUUGCCUGGUGUUGCGAUGCUCUUCUGUUCAGAAAACACUGUUCCCCAAUGCCGGAGAUCAUGGUUCUGAAGUGCUGGCCGUUCUAUCUACCAAGGGAAUUUACGGCCAUUCUGCUUGUGCAGGACAGGACAGGAACAUUUUUCAAAAGUUAAAACAACAGCCUGAUACUGAAUACAGACAAUGCAAUGAAUGCUUACAUGAGAUUUGAAGUCAGUUAUUAUACAUGUGGUUGGGCUAAGAGGGUUGAGCAUUGGUUGUCAAUGAUGGGGUUAAUAGUGGGUCUCAGGAUGUGGACGGUGGAGCAGUGGGGUACAGGGUUCUGUGCUGUAUAUUGUUUGAGGAGGGCUAGAGUCUUUUCCUAGCCCUGCUCGAGCUAUCUAUCUUGUGUUUAUCUAUCUAUCUAUCUAUCUAUCUAUCUAUCUAUCUAGAUAUCUAUCUAUCUAUCUAUCUAUCUAUCUAUCUAUCUAUCUAUCUAUCUAUCUAUCUAUCUAUCUAUCUAUCUAUCUGUCAGGGUUCUGUCAGGGUUGAAGAAGGUUGUAGAGGUGAGGACCCAAAUGCAGGACUGAUGAGGCACGAAGUUCAGCAAAAGGUAUUUAUUGACUAACAAAAGGCGCUACACAAGGCAGGAUAACCAAAAAUACAAAAAUCUAAAGGAAUUAUGACAUGGCGUGGAAAAACAUGGGACAAGACAUGGAAACAUGGAUCUAACAUUAAACGACGCGACAAGGAACAAAAGGAAAGGCAGGGCUAUAUAUACAGGAAAUCAAGUACUUAACAAAAUAAAACAGGAAAUACAAAACACAAUAUGAACAGACAUCAAGACAGAUUCACAAGGAGGCAUGUGAAACAGGAAGCAACUAAACAAAAUAAAACAGGAAACUCAAAACCAUGAUCACGAAAUAAAACACAGAAACAUGACACUAUCUAUUAAAGAUUCUUAAAGAUACAUGGAUGUGCUGUAAAGAUGAGCUUCCUGGUGCAGAGACAAGAGCCUGACUGGUGUUCUAAUAAUAUAAUAUUAACCAACAUUGUUGUUGUUGACAUAUAGUAUAUUGUGUUUUCCUGUUAUCUACAUGUGUUUUUUUGUUUUUUUGCCUCUGCACUAUUUAAUUAUUUUUUCCUGUAAUAUUUAAUGUGUAUUUGUUGUAUAUUGAUGUGCUGAAGAAAGAAGUGAUCACUGCUGACAAGUCUUAUUACAAAAAAGAACAAUGUCAAAAACUUGCUGAAUCUGAGAGAGCUUCUGGCCAAUCCUCGAAUCUCCUCUCUUGUUCAGCUCCAACAGUCCCCUUAUAUAUGAUGCUCAUCCCCAAAAACCGCCAUUCAUAAACAAAGAGAACUUAUGUCUAGUUAGUUUUACAAGCUGACAUCUGGUAAAUGACCCUUUGACCCUUAAAUUUUGUACACAUUCCAAACACCCAAAAACAGGAAAAGGGACAGAAGAGAAAAACAAGAAGACCAUAUACUACAUAUUUCCCCCCUUCGAGGCUCAUAGAGUCCUGACCACCAAAAAAAAACAGCACAAAAGUAUUCAUUGUAUUCAUAACAUAAAGAUAUGUUCUUCUUACAGUGUCAGUUACAGCACAACCCUUAACAAUACAACAAAUUCGUGGAGUGUGAGAGCGAAAACCAGGCAGGCAGUCAUCUUUCUUAAAAUGUCCAUCUUUCAAUCUAAACAGGAAAUUCUCUCACGGCCCCUCUGCCUAGGCAACCACACAGUAGUACUACAAGCCUACUAAAAAAGAAGGAUUUCUAAAAUCUAUAUAGAGAAAUAUCUUAACACUUGUAUGGUAUUCGGGUCAAACUGACCCGUUUCAGAUUUUUGCAAGAAGAGAAAUGGUACAAGUACAUUUUUUCUACCUGAAACUCAAUGACCUUUGCUUGUUUUCUGUGAUAAACAUGUAUAAAGAACCAAAAACAAAAUAGCACACAUGCUACUAUACCCCACACAUUUACAUCCUUCAUAUGGUCUUCGGGUCAUUUUGACCCGCAUACACAGACGCACAGAAAUAUGCCCACACAGACACACACAGACACACGCACACAGCACACAGAGCAAUUUUUACAGACCACAAUGUCUCUGAAGAAUUUCCAUGUGUUCAGAUUUGACAACUGGUAAUCAAGACCUGUUAAACGGCGGGGGGACAAGUUGGCAGCAAUCCGCACUGUGUGGGAGCAGUUGGUGGACCGGCUUCCCUGUCUUUAUAACCCUGGGCCCAGUGUAACUGUGGACAAACGGCUUGUGGGGUUUAGAGGCCGCUGCCCUUUCAGGCACUAUUAUGCCCACAAAACCAGCGAGGUAUGGCAUCAAAAUCUGGGCUGCCUGUGACGAUGUUUCAUGUUAUGCAUGGAACAUGCAAAUUUAUACAGGGAAGCUGGAAGGAGGAGCUGCUGAAAGAAACCAGGGGACAAGAGUGGUGCUAGAUAUGUCACAAGGCCUCAGGCCAGAACAUUACCUGUGACAAUUUUUUUUAUAUCGUACAGCCUGGGACAGGAACUUCUCAAAAGAAAGCUAAAAUUGGUUGGAACAGUCCAGAAAAAUAGAACGGAGCUUCCACCUGAGGUUCAAACUGUGGAAAAAAGGCCAGUCCAUUCCUCCAACUUCAUGUUCACAACCAACACUGCCUUGGUAUCUUACAUACCAAAAAAAGGAAAAAAUGUGGUGCUCAUGAGCACUCUACACAGGGAUGGAGGAAUAAGUAGUAGGAUGGACCGUAAGCCAAAGGUCAUACUUGACUACAAUGCUUACCUUAUGACAAAAAGAGUAGUCAUGCUUCCAUUGUUAAUUUUGUUCGAGUAGAGACUGAUUGCAAUCAUUAAACAUGUAUGUUAUUUCAAUUUCAAUUUCAAUUGUUGAAAUUGAGAUGAAGACAAUAUAUGUUAAUGGUUUAUGAAGUAAAAGUUUAUAUUAGAAUUGUUUUUAACACCCCAAAUAUGUCCCGGGUCAAUUUGACCCGAGGGAUACCAGAGGGUCCUAAAAGUGAAGACCAUACGAGGGUUAAGCAGAGUAUAUAUAUGGAUACCUCAGAAAAUAAAUCAAAACCAUAUCCAACAUCAGGCUGGUCGACCUAUCGGACCCUCCAUUGGAUCUCUCCCUACCUAACAUUACUCUCCCAACGCACCCCGAAAAAAAAUACAAUUGAGGUUCAAAUACAUUCACUUUCUUAACAAAUACAUGUCAGUGAUAUACACUGCAACAAACUUUCAAUAUUGGCAAGACAAAAAUAUGUUGCACUGUGAUCUUUUUCCACUUCGAGUCCCACUAUCACUGUAAGGCCUCAUCACAGUGUCCUUGUUCAGGGUCCUUCAGUCCCCAAGCAUCCAGCUUCUCACAGUGAUCCUCCUUCAAUAUCCAUCUCGGAAGAGAGAGGACAGCACACCAGUAUCUUUGCAAACAUUAAAACAAAUGAAAACAAUAUAUAUGAACACAAACAUCAACACACACAUUUCUCCAAAUCUAAAGUCACCCUUAACUACGCCCCACUAUGAUAAAAGACUACAAAACAACCCAUAGCUGAAUACAAUCUUCAAAAUGGGUACAUUUCCAUCAGUUGUCCUUCUACACCAAUUUCCUCAUUAUAUUCUCCCUCAUCAUUUUUAUUCAAUAGUGGCAUCUGAGCUUGAUUUCCAGGCAUCACGACUCCAACCCGCCUCAGUAUUAUAGCCUUUGCAAAAGUCAACACCAAUGUACAAAAACAAAACAUCAAACAUAAUGAUAAAACAACUGCUAUUGAAAUCUGGGCCAGUACUGCUCCCAUUGGACCAAAUUUCUCCUGUAACCAAGCAUUCGCAGACCAGCCAGCUCCCUUUGACUCCCUUUUGGACCAAACGCAUCUCUUAUGUUCCUCAAUGCAUCUAUGACACUUGUCAUAUUGUCUGAUCAGGAAUCAAAGUAUAACAGGCAUCCCCGGUUAAAUUUAAGGCCACACAAAGAGAGCCAUGUUAUGUUUUAACAAUGUCAAUCGAUGACUUUUCUGCGUAUUUGUCAGAUUUUCAAAAUUUGCCAUGGUCCCAUUUGCAAAAGACUGUAGAGUAUAUGUAAUAUUAUCAAUAUGAUCUACCAAAAACGUCACACCAUACCAUGGAAAUAAUCCUAAACCCCACUUUUGUGCUGAACUUAUCCUCCGGUGAAAAGCUUUCAUAGUAUGAAACUGUGCCAAUUCCCUUUUUUCCCUACUUCCAAGAAUAGCGUAGGGUUGAACCUCAUCAAGUGCAUGUCCCUGUUGCAAAGUAAAAACCUCAUAUGGAAGUUUCAGCCUUGCCAAAUAACAACAUCCUGUCCACCCAUAUGGUAAAAAUAUAUAUGCUUUGUCAUCACAGACCCACCAAAGAUCUUUGAAGUUUCCCAUAGUCACAUUUCCUGGCAAAGUCUGAUUCUUCACAAUCAAAGUCCUGCUCUGUCUAUAAUCUGGAGCAUAAAAAGUCACUGUAUAUAGAUCAUCACGCCUUCCAAAAUGCAUCAUAUAUUUGUCACAAUCAGAUAUUCCCAUGAACAUCCCAGGACCAUUAUACGUAUUAUUUGAACGGUAACACUUUAUAUUAAGAUUCACAUAUUAGCCAUUAACUAGGUGCUUACUAAUAUGCAUAUAAGUAGCAUACUAGCCCUUUAUUAGUAUUUAUUAAGCAUGUAUUAACACCUUAUUCUACAUAGCCUUAUUCUAUCUCUAUUAUGCCAUGAAUUAAGCUUUUUCCCGAUAUUACCUCUUAAUUAUUGCUUAUUAAAUGCAUUGUUGUUUCUGAAUAAUGAUGUGAAUAACCAGUGGGUUAUUGGGGCCUUGUAAAGGGGCAGUAGCACAAGAAUAGUAAUUAUUCCUUUAUCACUCUGAAUUAGUAUAGUCUAUUCCUGUGGAAUGCAAUGCAAAACUACAAGUGUAAAUAUUACCCUAAUAACUAUAAAUUAAUAAUUUAAUUUAACUCAAAAUAUGUUCCCUAUUCUAAAGUGGGGUCAUAUUUAAUUCACAAGUAGUUGGAUCCUAUUGGUUUAACUUAAAGCAAGGAGAAGUGAGGUCUGAAUAGCCUAUUGGUAGAUUUCUCUGCAUGUCUUCUACAUAUAUGUCCAUUCUUCAGCGAGGAGUCUGAAGAUACAGUAUAGUCAAAUGAUUUUUUUACUUUUAUGUCUUACUCAAUGGUUCCUGCAAGUUGCAUUGAGAUCACAUUUUGUAGCCAAGGCUAUUGACCUGAAUGCCAUAUUGGCAUGUGUGCAAAUAAGAAAUUGUAGUUACAAAUCAAGAGACUUAGACAAUUGAAGAAACUGACUUCAAUAUACAGUACAAUGCUAAGUCAGAGACAUUUCUGUGGUUGAUCUAUCACAUAUUUGCUCAAGGUCUUCGUCUACAACAAGUGGAUAUGAUGCAAGAGGGGAUUACUCAGAGCUCUGCAACACUGACAAAACUUGCUGACAAGCUGCGGAGUGUUUGCAAAGCUGCAAUGAAGAGAAUGAGAAGAAGAGGCAAACAGACUAUUGGAAGAAGAGGGGAACUUGUUCUGAUAGAUGAGAGCAAAUUUGGUCAUAAAAGGAAGGUAGGCUAUGUAGACCACACAGACCACUCAAAUAUUGCUACACUGAUCUGUCUAACAAGUAUUGACCUGUAUGAUGUCAUUACAUAGCAAAACUGAUGAUUGAUUAUGCAUGAUUAUUUGAAUUCCAGUCCAAAAGAGGACAGGCAAGCAACAGGAGUUACUGGGUUUUUGGAAUGCUGGGCAUUAAGGAGGACAGGCGAAGACCUGUGUUUAAGAUAGUUCCUCACCGUUCAGACAAUCAUCUCCCCCUAAUAUAAAAGCACGUUCGACAGGGAAGCGCCAUCAUUUCAGAUGGAUGGAGAUCAUAUCACCGUCUUCAGGAUGAAGGUUACAAUCAUCUGACUGUUAACCACCAAAAAUGUUUUGUUGACCCUAUGAUGGUAAGGUGCACACACACAAAAUCUCGAGCGACUAUGGGGCAUUUGCAAAUCAACUUUAUGGAGAUUAAGAGGAAACCAUACACACAAUUUAUUGAAAGAUCACUUAGAUGUAAUUCAGUGGACUGACUGGCGUUGAAACGAACCCAGACAUGGACCACUGGGCCUGCUUUUGCAUGACAUCUGAAAAAAAUAUCCCGUGUGAAAUGAAGUUACAAAUUUGGGUCUUAUUUUCAUGAUCCAGUGCUUGCGUGUGAAUGUACUUCUGUUGUAUAUAGCAUUACUAAACUUUUACAGCCUUUUAGUGGUACAUUUUUUUUGUAGUUGGGGUUGUACAGAUGAAAUAAACACUGAGCUGUUGCACAUGCCAUUUUAAAUAUUGUGAACAAAUACUAAACCUGUCAGUUGUUGUUUUGUUUUUUUUUUGACUGGGCACUGGCUUCAAUUUGGACUCAUGUGUUUCCUCAGUGCUGCGCUUACUGUCACUGACAUAAUUAUGUUGUCCUUGAACAUACAUUUGCAUUGACCUGAGUCUUUGCAUUUAUUUUUGUUAAGAUGAAUGUAUAGCUUGACUGUUUACAGUUUACAAUAAAUGUACUUGUACUAACUGACUGUCUACUAACUGCUAGUUGUAUGCUAUAAUGAUGUAACUAAAUGCGAAGAGUCUGCAACUUAAGUAUGUGUGUUAAGUGUUAAGAUGAAUGUAUGGCUUGACUGUUUACAGUUUACAAUAAAUGUACUUGUACU